AUGGCGUCAGUACCUCCCGCCAAGAUACACGGUUGACCUUACUGGUGUGCCGUUAUAUUUUCAGCCUGUAUAGAGGUGACAGUGCCGUGACAGAGGUGGUGGAGGUUAUUAAUGCACCAAGAAACAGGUGUGUAAGGUGUGGCAGUGGUGUUGAUAAGGGAUUAGUGUGUAAGAAGGGAAAGAAGUGUGGUGGGCCAAGUGCACGUCUGCUCCAUGUCAACAAACUUAGUGUGAUGGCCGUGUGGUGUUGCUUAUACACCCCAUAAACACACUCAAACACCCCGCAACACAUCCACAACAUGCCCAUAUACACCCACACACACAAAGUGAAGUGAUGACAUUCCCGACAGCACCAGCGGCGAGACAAAAGAGCAAUGCAACUCUUUACCACGACUCUCCACAACGCCUCACCAUCAUUUAUUUCAGGCUCAGGCGUGUAGAUGGGAGCAGUAGAAGAAA
Molecule: long non-coding RNA, 459 nt
Organism: Portunus trituberculatus (swimming crab)
Lineage: Eukaryota; Metazoa; Arthropoda; Malacostraca; Decapoda; Portunidae
Exons: 2
Source: RefSeq, a predicted model, not a curated record